GGGGCUGUAACGGUUUCGACGUUUUGACGAAAGUCACGCUGUGAUACAGGCCGAGAGUGAGUCCACUCUCGUAAAUCAAGGCUCAAAACAAACGUAAAUGCGAACAACAUCGUACCCUUUGCUCGUAAAGCUGCACCUGUUGCUGCCUAACUAAACCUCGUUUAGUGAGCGUCUAUAGUUUGACUCCGUUAAGAGCCAUAGACAAAACCCCAACGGAUGCUUUAAUGAAUCUCCUCUGGUGGAUCCAUUAACUAAGACUUAGCCAGAGCAUCCCGCCGUCCGGGAUAAGUGGCGGUUCCUGUCCCUAGGGUUAGAGGGACUAAGCCUGUGAAUGAGUGGUGUGUUAAUACUCAAAGCGGACACGGGUUCGACUCCCGUCAGCUCCAUUG
This 389-nucleotide transfer-messenger RNA is filed under the name Leptolyngbya sp. It matches the Rfam family "transfer-messenger RNA". Rfam says of the family: Bacterial tmRNA, also known as 10Sa RNA or SsrA, is named for its dual tRNA and mRNA-like properties. Its role is to liberate the mRNA from a stalled ribosome. The record is from RNAcentral. Lineage: Bacteria; Bacillati; Cyanobacteriota; Cyanophyceae; Leptolyngbyales; Leptolyngbyaceae. RNAcentral also lists the same sequence under 1 other name.